This 72-nucleotide transfer RNA is filed under the name Candidatus Niyogibacteria bacterium RIFCSPLOWO2_12_FULL_41_13. RNAcentral's name for it is "tRNA-Ile". It matches the Rfam family "tRNA". From Rfam's summary of the family: Transfer RNA (tRNA) molecules are approximately 80 nucleotides in length. Their secondary structure includes four short double-helical elements and three loops (D, anti-codon, and T loops). Further hydrogen bonds mediate the characteristic L-shaped molecular structure. tRNAs have two regions of fundamental functional importance: the anti-codon, which is responsible for specific mRNA codon recognition, and the 3' end, to which the tRNAs corresponding amino acid is attached (by aminoacyl-tRNA synthetases). tRNAs cope with the degeneracy of the genetic code in two manners: having more than one tRNA (with a specific anti-codon) for a particular amino acid; and 'wobble' base-pairing, i.e. permitting non-standard base-pairing at the 3rd anti-codon position. The record is from RNAcentral. Lineage: Bacteria; Candidatus Niyogiibacteriota.
GGGCGUGUAGCUCAGUGGCAGAGCGGUUGUCUUAUAAACAACAGGUCCUAGGUUCGAUCCCUAGCACGCCCA